AUGAACGCUGGCGGCGUGCCUAAUACAUGCAAGUCGAGCGAACAGACGAGGAGCUUGCUCCUCUGACGUUAGCGGCGGACGGGUGAGUAACACGUGGAUAACCUACCUAUAAGACUGGGAUAACUUCGGGAAACCGGAGCUAAUACCGGAUAAUAUAUUGAACCGCAUGGUUCAAUAGUGAAAGACGGUUUUGCUGUCACUUAUAGAUGGAUCCGCGCCGCAUUAGCUAGUUGGUAAGGUAACGGCUUACCAAGGCAACGAUGCGUAGCCGACCUGAGAGGGUGAUCGGCCACACUGGAACUGAGACACGGUCCAGACUCCUACGGGAGGCAGCAGUAGGGAAUCUUCCGCAAGGGGCGAAAGCCUGACGGAGCAACGCCGCGUGAGUGAUGAAGGUCUUCGGAUCGUAAAACUCUGUUAUUAGGGAAGAACAAAUGUGUAAGUAACGAUGCACGUCUUGACGGUACCUAAGCAGAAAGCCACGGCUAACUACGU
This 495-nucleotide ribosomal RNA is filed under the name uncultured bacterium. RNAcentral's name for it is "partial 16S ribosomal RNA". It matches the Rfam family "Bacterial small subunit ribosomal RNA", at positions 29 to 506 of the family's 1533-position model. The record is from RNAcentral.